GAAGGUAGAAGGUGGGGUCUGCCGGACGCGUGUUCCUGCCACCAGGUGCCCGCUCCCCGCGAGGCCGGCUCAGGAGCAGAAGGAAGCCCGGUGCCAGCCAGCCUUCCUGAAAGACCAAGCCCGCGCCAUCCGGCUUCCUCCAGUGGACGCCUGCAGGACCCAGGAAUGUUUUUCUUGAAGGCAUCCAGCAUCUCCAGUUAGCAGUACUGAUUUUUUUUCCCCCCAACAAAGGAACACUACAUCAACACUGUUGGCGGGGACCUGGACACAGAAGACUCCUGUUUCAAGAAAAUACAAUCAUCUCUCAAAGGCUGUAAUUUAUAUGCAUUUUAAAACUCUAGGCAUUGAAAACCACCCAAGUGUCCCAAAUAGAAGGGUAAUAUAUAAUCAAUCACUCAGUGUAAUAUUAUACAUCCUUUAAAAAUGUUAUUGGGAAAUGUUUUAUGAUCUGUAAGUCCAAGGAAUCCUCUCCCACCAUUUCUUUCCCCCCGCUGUUCCCCCAUACCCACACUUCUUUGUUCCAAUUGGCAUGUAAAUUUGGUUUUCCCGCCAAAUGAGUCAGUCAUGAUGGGAACCUCAACUGAUUUGAACAGAUGUGUGUCAAUGUUACUUGGAAAACUAGAUGUCAAUAACCAGGGUCACAGAAAAAGGCAGUGGUCACAACUCUGUAAAAAUGUAUGCAUGCACACAGACAAGAACUAAAGUGGAACCCCACACAGGAAAACAGUGGGCUGUACUCCAGUGCUGGGACAUUGAAUGACUGUAUGCUGCUUUUGAUUUCCGUUA
This is a long non-coding RNA of Homo sapiens (human), 786 nucleotides long. RefSeq annotates it as MIR503 host gene. The transcript is spliced from 3 exons. NCBI's taxonomy places the organism in Eukaryota, Metazoa, Chordata, Mammalia, Primates, Hominidae. The record is from RefSeq and is marked validated.